GCUCUUUAUUUUGUUGGAUUAUUCUGUUGCUUUGCAUUGAUUUCUGUCUAUAGGUGUCAGUGGCGUGCGAUGCGCGUGGAGGUGACGGGAGGCGGCGGCAUGCGAGGAAGCCCUGCUGACAUGCGGCACGCCCUAGGGUUUUUUUUUUUUGCCUCCUUUUUUGCUGAAUGUUUAUAUUGUGGACCAUUGGGCCUUUAGGGUUUAGGUUUAAUUGGGAUAGUGCUGAUGGGUUUUGGGCUUGUAUUGUAAUUUUGGACUGUGGACAUUUUAAUUAUUAUUUUAUUUUUUGGGGUUAUUUGUUAUUGGGCCGGGAAAAAAUUGGGUCUUACACUCUCUUUUUUUAUUUAAUGAAAAUUCAUUAUAUGAAUUCUAUGGUAAACUUACAACAAUUAUCUUUCUAUAACAACAUGAUGUUGUAGCUAUAUAAUAGCCAUUUCUCUAUUACAGACAAAUUUUGAAUAGACAAACGAGACUAUUAUAAAAAUGAUAAACUGUAUAAUUUUAAAAUUCA
RNAcentral lists this long non-coding RNA (511 nucleotides) under Gossypium raimondii (Peruvian cotton). RNAcentral's name for it is "long non-coding RNA (GRAI_LNC005170)". The record is from RNAcentral. Lineage: Eukaryota; Viridiplantae; Streptophyta; Magnoliopsida; Malvales; Malvaceae.